RNAcentral lists this transfer RNA (74 nucleotides) under Mycobacterium phage Crossroads. RNAcentral describes it as "tRNA-Trp". It matches the Rfam family "tRNA". Rfam says of the family: Transfer RNA (tRNA) molecules are approximately 80 nucleotides in length. Their secondary structure includes four short double-helical elements and three loops (D, anti-codon, and T loops). RNAcentral also lists the same sequence under 1 other name. Lineage: Duplodnaviria; Heunggongvirae; Uroviricota; Caudoviricetes; Vilmaviridae. The record is from RNAcentral.
AGCGAAUUGGUGUAAUCGGUAGCAUAGCGGCCUCCAAAACCGCCUGGUAGAGGUUCGAGUCCUCUAUUCGUUGC